AUUGAACGCUGGCGGAAUGCUUUACACAUGCAAGUCGAACGGCAGCACGGGGGCAACCCUGGUGGCGAGUGGCGAACGGGUGAGUAAUACAUCGGAACGUGCCCAGUCGUGGGGGAUAACGUAGCGAAAGUUACGCUAAUACCGCAUACGAUCUACGGAUGAAAGCGGGGGACCGUAAGGCCUCGCGCGAUUGGAGCGGCCGAUGUCAGAUUAGGUAGUUGGUGAGGUAAAGGCUCACCAAGCCGACGAUAUGUAGCCGGUCUGAGAGGACGACCGGCCAAACUGGAACUGAGACACGGCCCAGACUCCUACGGGAGGCAACAGUGGGGAAUUUUGGACAAUGGGCGCAAGCCUGAUCCAGCCAUUCCGCGUGCAGGACGAAGGCCUUCGGGUUGUAAACUGCUUUUGUACGGAACGAAAAGGCUCUGGUUAAUACCUGGGGCUCAUGACGGUACCGUAAGAAUAAGCACCGGCUAACUACGUGCCAGCAGCCGCAGUAA
This 500-nucleotide ribosomal RNA is filed under the name uncultured bacterium. RNAcentral's name for it is "partial 16S ribosomal RNA". It matches the Rfam family "Bacterial small subunit ribosomal RNA", at positions 30 to 523 of the family's 1533-position model. The record is from RNAcentral.